This 265-nucleotide ribosomal RNA is filed under the name uncultured bacterium. RNAcentral describes it as "partial 16S ribosomal RNA". It matches the Rfam family "Bacterial small subunit ribosomal RNA", at positions 29 to 314 of the family's 1533-position model. The record is from RNAcentral.
AACGAACGCUGGCGGCAGGCCUAACACAUGCAAGUCGAACGCCGUAGCAAUACGGAGUGGCAGACGGGUGAGUAACGCGUGGGAACAUACCCUUCGGUUCGGAAUAACUCAGGGAACUUAGUGCUAAUACCGGGUACGUCCGAGGUAAACUUAGGAGAAGAUUUAUCGCCGGAGGAUUGGCCCGCGUCUGAUUAGCUUGUUGGUGAGGUAAUGGCUCACCAAGGCGACGAUCAGUAGCUGGUCUGAGAGGAUGAUCAGCCACAUU